RNAcentral lists this ribosomal RNA (229 nucleotides) under uncultured bacterium. RNAcentral describes it as "partial 16S ribosomal RNA". It matches the Rfam family "Bacterial small subunit ribosomal RNA", at positions 568 to 796 of the family's 1533-position model. The record is from RNAcentral.
AGCGUAGGCGGCUUUUCAAGUCGGAUGUGAAAUUUCCCGGCUCAACCGGGAGGGGUCAUUCGAUACUGUAAGGCUUGAGUGCAACAGGGGGAAACGGAAUUCCCGGUGUAGUGGUGGAAUGCGUAGAUAUCGGGAGGAACACCAGAGGCGAAAGCGGUUUCCAAGGUUGUUACUGACGCUGAGGCUCGAAAGCGUGGGGAGCAAACAGGAUUAGAUACCCUGGUAGUCC